RNAcentral lists this small RNA (77 nucleotides) under Flavobacterium succinicans. Its description in RNAcentral is "Flavo-1 RNA". It matches the Rfam family "Flavo-1 RNA". The record is from RNAcentral. Lineage: Bacteria; Pseudomonadati; Bacteroidota; Flavobacteriia; Flavobacteriales; Flavobacteriaceae.
CUCUAGACCCGAUCGCAGCCGCAUCCUUUUGUGCAGCGAUAGCUGUACAAAAGAUAGAGUGGAGAGCGGGAACGUUA